GUGAGGAAUAUUGGUCAAUGGGCGGAAGCCUGAACCAGCCAUCCCGCGUGGAGGAAGACGGCCCUAUGGGUUGUAAACUUCUUUUCAAGGGGAAGAAAGUUCGCGACGUGUCGCGAUUUGCCGGUACCUUUGGAAUAAGCAUCGGCUAACUCCGUGCCAGCAGCCGCGGUAAUACGGAGGAUGCGAGCGUUAUCCGGAUUUAUUGGGUUUAAAGGGUGCGUAGGCCGAUCGAUAAGUCAGCGGUGAAAUACCAUGGCCCAACCAUGGAACUGCCGUUGAUACUGUCGGUCUUGAAUAUGGUCAAGGUAGGCGGAAUGUGUAAUGUAGCGGUGAAAUGCUUAGAUAUUACACAGAACACCGAUUGCGAAGGCAGCUUACUGGUCCAUUAUUGACGCUGAGGCACGAAAGCGUGGGGAUCGAACAGGAUUAGAAACCCUUGUAGUCC
Molecule: ribosomal RNA, 445 nt
Filed under: uncultured bacterium
Lineage: Bacteria
Description: partial 16S ribosomal RNA
Rfam family: Bacterial small subunit ribosomal RNA
Source: RNAcentral